AGGACGAGCGCUGGCGGCGUGCUUAACACAUGCAAGUCGAGCGGAAAGGCCCUUCGGGGUACUCGAGCGGCGAACGGGUGAGUAACACGUGAGUAACCUGCCCCAAACUUUGGGAUAACCCUCGGAAACGGGGGCUAAUACCGAAUAUUACUUCUGGUCGCAUGGCUGGUGGUGGAAAGUUUUUCGGUUUGGGAUGGACUCGCGGCCUAUCAGCUUGUUGGUGAGGUAAUGGCUCACCAAGGCGAGGACGGGU
This 253-nucleotide ribosomal RNA is filed under the name uncultured bacterium. RNAcentral's name for it is "partial small subunit ribosomal RNA". It matches the Rfam family "Bacterial small subunit ribosomal RNA", at positions 26 to 284 of the family's 1533-position model. The record is from RNAcentral.